CAGCCGCCGCGGUAAUACGGAGGACGCGAGCGUUACCCGGAUUUACUGGGCGUAAAGGGCGUGUAGGCGGCCUGGGGCGUCCCAUGUGAAAGGCCACGGCUCAACCGUGGAGGAGCGUGGGAUACGCUCAGGCUAGAGGGUGGGAGAGGGUGGUGGAAUUCCCGGAGUAGCGGUGAAAUGCGCAGAUACCGGGAGGAACGCCGAUGGCGAAGGCAGCCACCUGGUCCACUUCUGACGCUGAGGCGCGAAAGCGUGGGGAGCAAACCGGAUUAGAUACCCGAGUAGUCCCUGUCUCUUAUAC
This 301-nucleotide ribosomal RNA is filed under the name uncultured bacterium. RNAcentral's name for it is "partial 16S ribosomal RNA". It matches the Rfam family "Bacterial small subunit ribosomal RNA", at positions 509 to 807 of the family's 1533-position model. The record is from RNAcentral.